Molecule: non-coding RNA, 183 nt
Organism: Pelobates cultripes (western spadefoot toad)
Lineage: Eukaryota; Metazoa; Chordata; Amphibia; Anura; Pelobatidae
Source: the annotation of a GenBank genome assembly
GGCCGAAUGGUUCUUAUCUGCCGUCACAUUCUAUGUCUAUGUUUUUUAACCUCUAAAAUCAAAUAAAAUGUAAUGCAAAAAUUAAAUAUUUGAAUAUUUUGAAAAUCUAAAAUUCUCAAGGAAAGAAAAUGUAAUAGAAACAUAGAAACAUAGAAUGUGACGGCAGAUAAGAACCAUUCGGCC